UUAAAAUGAGAGUUUGAUCCUGGCUCAGGACGAACGCUGGCGGCGUGCCUAAUACAUGCAAGUCGAACGAAACUUUCUUACACCGAAUGCUUGCAUUCACCGUAAGAAGUUGAGUGGCGGACGGGUGAGUAACACGUGGGUAACCUGCCUAAAAGAAGGGGAUAACACUUGGAAACAGGUGCUAAUACCGUAUAUCUCUAAGGAUCGCAUGAUCCUUAGAUGAAAGAUGGUUCUGCUAUCGCUUUUAGAUGGACCCGCGGCGUAUUAACUAGUUGGUGGGGUAACGGCCUACCAAGGUGAUGAUACGUAGCCGAACUGAGAGGUUGAUCGGCCACAUUGGGACUGAGACACGGCCCAAACUCCUACGGGAGGCAGCAGUAGGGAAUCUUCCACAAUGGACGCAAGUCUGAUGGAGCAACGCCGCGUGAGUGAAGAAGGUCUUCGGAUCGUAAAACUCUGUUGUUAGAGAAGAACACGAGUGAGAGUAACUGU
This 492-nucleotide ribosomal RNA is filed under the name Ligilactobacillus salivarius. RNAcentral's name for it is "bacterial SSU rRNA". It matches the Rfam family "Bacterial small subunit ribosomal RNA", at positions 1 to 468 of the family's 1533-position model. The record is from RNAcentral. Lineage: Bacteria; Bacillati; Bacillota; Bacilli; Lactobacillales; Lactobacillaceae.